This is a non-coding RNA of Doryrhamphus excisus (bluestripe pipefish), 5154 nucleotides long. The record is from RefSeq and is a predicted model, not a curated record. NCBI's taxonomy places the organism in Eukaryota, Metazoa, Chordata, Actinopteri, Syngnathiformes, Syngnathidae.
UUCUGAUCAGCUGUUAUAUGCAUGUUUUGUUCUGUGUCAGAGGUCUCCAUACGGACCCAGACGCACCUUGGUGACACGGCACACGUUCAGACAAGUAGAGGUGUGCAAAUGAGUGGGCACGUGGAGGAAAAGGAUACUUGGAGCAAGGCGAGGGCAGGGCUGAGGAGAUACUAUGUGGGAAUGCGUAAAGAUAAAAUGAAAAGAACAACUUUGCCAUCUUCAGUGAACAACAACAAACAUGAAUAUUGAAAAAGAGCAAGGUGGAAUUGGUGCCAGGUUUGGUGGACCGCAGAGCAGAGACCAAGGCAAAAGGUAGUAAAAAGGUAUUUAAUCACAACAAAGGGCGCUCACAAGGGAGGAAAAACAAAGUACAACAAAAGACGCUGGUGACAGAAGGUCACCGUGAAACCAAAAGUACAAACCAAAAGAGUACAAAGUAGCAAACAAGGAAAUCUGGCGUAGCUCAACUACUUACAGGCAGUAGGCAGCAAAAAUACAAGUUACUAGGAAACUAGGCAAAAGGUCAGGAGCAGAAGUGUGCAGUAUGCAGGCUGGACGAAGCAUGACGAGGUGACCAUUUGACAGGGGAACAAUGGAAGUGGAGAGGCAUAUGAAGGCCUGAUGGCUGAUGGGUAACUAGGGGAACAGGCAGGAGUCUGCUGCAGGAUGGAGAAGAGACAAUAGGGGGCAGCAGACCAAAAGAAGUGCAGAUCAUGACAGUUUUUACACUGAAUCACUAAAUCACAGUUGUCAAAACUUUUUCCACUGAGGGCCACUUUGAUACACUUUGUAUGUUAAAGAUGCUAAAUGUAGCUCAAUAUGUAUUUGAAGAAUAUAUGUGCAGUUUGCCUUUAACACUCAUAUUACCCAAUAUAGUGUGUACUUAUAUACACAGGAGGUGUUGCACUAAUUAUGAGCAGUAGCGGGUACACGGUGACGUUCUUAGCGUUCCACAUCAACAUGACAACACAAACACAUCAGGUAUCACUUAAAUUAAACAGAAAUUUGUGUAAUUAUAACAUGAACAUAUAUACAAUAUUUACAAUAACAUUAUAACCCUGUUACAUAUAGACUACUCGUACUUCCUGCGGUGGUUAUUGUCAUAUCACUGUAACAUUACGGACCCCUAGUGACCAGUAUAGAAAGCUACAUAACAAAAUACGCACCUUUCAUUUUUGUGCGUAUGUUUUGACAAAUAACAGACAUAGUCAACCAUGAAACAAUGAUGAUUUGGAAAAUGGUCCCCAGGCCACACUUUGGACAUCCUGUGUACUACAUAUAUAUUAUACUGACUUGUCAUAUACUUUUGAAGUUUUGCAUUUUAUUAAUAUGAGUUGAUUUGCUCUUUAGCGCUCUCCAGACAAAUCUUUAGGUACAUUUGCAGCUAAACAGCUCAUUUAAUCCCCAAUAGUGAAUACUCCACUGACAAGGUCAGUCAAAUACCGCUCUGAUAUUGGAGUACAUUUAUCUAAUGAAGUGGCUAGUGAGUGUCUGUUAGUACCAUGGAAGUUGUUUAGUUUAGUUACCUACUGCUGAUAAAAGUCCACUUUGGGAAAAAAAAUAAACAUCAUAAAAGGCGCCUAAGCUGAGAAAUGACAUAAUCGCAUUUGCAGGCGCUGCUACUCAAGUGGUUCAGAGGAGGUUGAAUGCUAUUUAGCAGCAUUUGUCAACGUGAUGAGAGGUCUGGCGAACAGCGCUUUGAUGUGGGGGUAUUUACUGCAAGAUGUGGGAGGCAGGCUCAUCUAUGUUCAAACUGCUGGAUCUGUCAAAAACAGUGACCAGUUACUUGUCAAAACAUGCCUAGAAUUCACUCAACAUACGGACAAAAAACACCUGUACUUUACAAAUGUUUAACCUGAUUUCAACCUAAAGGUUCUCCAAAAUGUGCCUAAUAAUGGAAUAUAAUUGAUGUGUUCUUUGUAGUUGUUUGACUACAUUAUAAGCCUAAGUAUUAGAAUCUUACGUACCUUUUCCAGGGCCAAAAAUGUACAUGUGUGUUAUUAAGUUGUAAAAGUGAAGGGUACAAUGUAGAGAUACUAGAUAGCCGAUAUUGCCCAGCAGGUAUUCCCUCAAACUCAUGUCAUGUAAUGACCACAUUAUGCUUUGUUGACUGUGACGCAACUCGAUGCAUUUCAAAAAUAAACAAAAAAAGACAAAAAGUAAUAUAACAUGUCCACAUACUAUGAAGAAGUAGCACUGGGACACACUGACAGCAGCACACACAAGCACGGUCUUAUUUAUGUCUACUGUCUACUGAUUUGGGUAAUAGGAGUGUAAAGCUGACAACGAUGAAUAAAUUAAUUCAUGUCUAGAAGGCUCUAACAAUGUCAAAAAUUAUAUGUAAAAGGUUAAUAGGUCAUGUUUACGUGUUUAUGUCAAGGAUAUAAACAGAUUCCUAUGCUCUAACUAUGAAAAUAUUCCGCUUAGAAAUAAGGAAUCCUACGUCACAGAAAUUCACUUGUCACAGUUGGGUCUUGAACCAGUUAACCACGAUAAAAGAGGGAUUACUGUAUUCCACAAAAAAAAUAAAAAUGAUACACUGUAGCACCACUGGAAAUGCACUCCCAGCAUGCCUUGCAGUUCUUGUUUAGUAAAAACUUGUCAGUGUUAUUUAUUAUUACAAUCAUUGUCAUUAUUGACACAAAAGAAACAAUACCGAAAUGAAUCAAUAUGUCAUUUUUAUGCUAAUAUUGGCAGAUAAUCUUGCUGGUCGAUGUUAUCGAACAUCCCUAGUACAAAGUUUGAGGGAAUAAUGGCGACUUAACUGCGGAGAAUACAUGCAGUAAAUGUCUACACAGCCGCCAGGUAUUUAAUGUACACAGCCAGGUGUUGAGUAAAGUGGUUUGUGUUCCCUGAGUUUCGACAGUAUCUCCCUGGAAGCAUAGCUGGAAAAAAAGUUAAUAGAGCAUAAAGUAGGUAUUAAUGUAGUUGUGUAAUACAUGAUAUCAGUUGGGUCCAUAAUCAUUGUCCUAUGAGUGAUAACAGCCACUUCAUUUAGUUCCGCAUUGAGUUUGAUAGGGCUCAUUCACUGUGAUCCUCAAAUGACAUCAUAUUAUAUGGAACAUGCGGACUCGUCUCGGGCGUGACAGCACUGGGGUGUGAAAUCAUGUCCCCCUUCAUCAAAAGAGUUACGAUCAGUCAAGUUAGGCUCGUAACAAAUAGCCGGCUUUGCGCUUUUAUCAGCAAUGCCGUGACCCUCAAUACUGUGACCUCAUCAUUAAUAUGGGAAGGCCGGAUGAUAGAUCAAAAGCAUGGUUCAGUGGAGCAUCCCUGGGCCAGAGCUGGCCUUGAAUCGUUCAUCACACCAUCCCUGUGGGGACUUUAUGACAGUCCGGGGUGAGAGAGGACGCUCUUGAGACUGUCAAAUUUGUUUUACUGCGUUUGAUAAUGGAUACUUUAAAAAAGAUGAUGUGCACAAAGGAAUUUCUGUGCUACAGUGACAUUCUCUCAUGUUAAUACAGCUGGACUUUUAUCCAGUUUAGGUCAGCCAUGAGUCAGUUAUGAAACAUUUAUCAAACAGCUUGGGUUGUCAUAUGAAAAACACUGAAAGGAACAGACAAUGAGGGCACUUAUACCUAAGUAAUAAUGAUUCUCUCACUCCUGUUCUCUACAGUCAUUAAAUACAGUAUAUACUCACUCAACAGAGUUGCACUCAAAGAUCUAAAACGUUUUCUACAUAGGUAAAAUUUUUCUCCAAUAUUGUUCACAAUUCUGUCUACAUCUGUCUCCUUUGCUGAAGUAAUCCAUCUACCUCACAGUUGUGGAAUAUGAAGAUGCUGUUUAGAGAGCAUGAUUAUUACACUGGUGUGGCUGAAGCUGGAUACAAUAAAAGGCCACUCCAAAAUGUGCAAUUUUACGAUAUUGCAAGUGGGGGUUAUCAGAAAACAAAUCAGUGUUUGGUAUGACUACCAUUUGCCUUAGGCAACACAUAUAGUUGAUUAGGUUGUUGAUUGUGUCCUGUAGAAUGUUGGUCCACUUUUUUCAGUGCAAAGUUGCUGGAUAUUGGCUGGAACUGGAACACAUCCCAAACGUGCUCAAUUGGCAAAACAUCUAGUGUGUAAGAACUGUGUAAAGCAGGUGUCGUCAACCCUUCGAUCGGCUAGUUGAUCUUUGGGACUUUUCUUGGUGUCGCAUUGGAGACAUGUACCUCCAAUGCGACACAGAAUGCGACACAGAUUGCUUAGGUUGACUGGAACCCAGACAAAAUGAAACAUAUCACACUGGGCGGCUAGUUCUGGAUCUUAGACUCAAAAGGGUUGGUGACCACUGGUGUACAGGUCCUUGCAAAAUGGGGGCGUGUAUGAACGUUAAAACAGCCCUCGGGAUCUUGUCAAAGUAUCUCUCUAAAUAGGUCAUAAAUUCGACUUUUUAUGGCUGUAUCAAGUACUAUCAAUCGCAUUUCCUGUCAAAAUGAGACCUGGGAUUCACUGUUGACCGGUCCAUGUCAGACACUUAUAAAUGGGGAUUAAUCACAAGUAAUUCAUUUCUAAACUGUGGUUAAUCUGACUAAACAUUUUAGCCAUUUGGCAACCCUAGUUAUUUCCCAUCAACGCUUGUACGGUCUAAUCUAACCCAUUAGAAACGUUUUGAUUGAUAUUGCCAGAGAGAUAUUAAUCCAAAUUUUCUCGCUUUGUUUGUGAUUACCUGCAGUGCAACUAUAGCAGUUGUACACAUUCUUCUGUCUAUGUAUAAACACUCGCCUAAUUAGCCACAAGCAGAUACACGGUGGUCAGGGGAGGGGGUGUUUAAAUCAACCUGAGACUUUUUGUCACGCUUAUAACACCAUCAAUUUUAUUAGCAUCAGGAGAGCUCAGAGGAACUGGAAGUGUCAUACAUAAAUAUCUGCAGUUACUGUGCUUGCUCAUACAUUUGAUUGGUGUGUCAAGUCUAUAUUUGUCACCAUUAAAAAUGUCAUAUGCUAAAGGGAGAUCUACAGAGAUCAAUAAAAGUCAAACGAAUAAUAUUUUGAGAAUUCUACAACAGGGAGACAACACAGAGAAGAAACAGUGACAUCAUUCAGUGAAUUAAUCACAUGUCUCCCAGCAGCUUUUUUACGAUCUUAAUUAUAUGCUUUGUUAAGGUUGAAUUGUAGUACUUUUGACCUAUUUGUGAUCAUUUGUGCUUUGAGAAUUUCAUUCAUUCAUUGAUUCAUAU